Molecule: ribosomal RNA, 510 nt
Filed under: uncultured bacterium
Lineage: Bacteria
Description: partial 16S ribosomal RNA
Rfam family: Bacterial small subunit ribosomal RNA
Source: RNAcentral
GACGAACGCUGGCGGCGUGCUUAACACAUGCAAGUCGAACGAAGAGCGAUGGAAGCUUGCUUCUAUCAAUCUUAGUGGCGAACGGGUGAGUAACGCGUAAUCAACCUGCCCUUCAGAGGGGGACAACAGUUGGACACGACUGCUAAUACCGCAUACGAUCUAAUCUCGGCAUCGAGGAUAGAUGAAAGGUGGCCUCUACAUGUAAGCUAUCACUGAAGGAGGGGAUUGCGUCUGAUUAGCUAGGUGGAGAGGUAACGGCCCACCCAGGCGAUGAUCGGUAGCCGGUCUGAGAGGGUGAACGGCCACAUUGGGACUGAGACACGGCCCAGACUCCUACGGGAGGCAGCAGUGGGGGAUCUUCCGCAAUGGACGAAAGUCUGACGGGGCAACGCCGCGUGAGUGAUGACGGCCUUCGGGUUGUAAAGCUCUGUUAAUCGGGACGAAAGGCCUUCUUGCGAAUAGGGAGAAGGAUUGACGGUACCGGAAUAGAAAGCCACGGCUAACUACGUG